GAGCCCAAGAUUGAAAGCUGGCGUCUUCGGCGUCCGCAUUGUAAUCUCAAGAAGUGUUUUCCGCUUCGGACCAUGCCUAAGUCCCUUGGAAAAGGGCAUCAUAGAGGGUGAUAAUCCCGUACAUGGCUUGGAGCGCCCGAGGCUUUGUGAUACGCUUUCUAAGAGUCGAGUUGUUUGGGAAUGCAGCUCAAAAUGGGUGGUAAAUGCCAUCUAAGGCUAAAUAUUGGGGAGAGACCGAUAGCGAACAAGUACAGUGAUGGAAAGAUGAAAAGAACUUUGAAAAGAGAGUUAAACAGUACGUGAAAUUGCCAAAAGGGAAGGGUAGGAGGUCAGAGAUGCGGCCUGGGAUUCAGCCUUGCUUUUGCUUGGUGUUUUUCCCAGAUUGCAGGCCAACGUCGGUUUUGGGCACUGGAGAAGGGUAGGAGGAACGUGGCACCCCUCGGGGUGUGUUAUAGCCUCCUACUGGAUACAGCGACCGAGACCGAGGACAGCAGCGUACUCGCAAGAGCGGGCCUUCGGGCACCUUUACGCUUAGGGCGUUGGCAUAAUGGCCCUCUACCACCCGUC
RNAcentral lists this ribosomal RNA (567 nucleotides) under uncultured Pseudozyma. RNAcentral's name for it is "eukaryotic LSU rRNA". It matches the Rfam family "Eukaryotic large subunit ribosomal RNA", at positions 104 to 653 of the family's 3401-position model. Lineage: Eukaryota; Fungi; Basidiomycota; Ustilaginomycetes; Ustilaginales; Ustilaginaceae. The record is from RNAcentral.